AGUGAACGCUGGCGGUAGGCCUAACACAUGCAAGUCGAACGGCAGCACAGAGGAGCUUGCUCCUUGGGUGGCGAGUGGCGGACGGGUGAGGAAUACAUCGGAAUCUACUCUGUCGUGGGGGAUAACGUAGGGAAACUUACGCUAACACCGCAUACGACCUACGGGUGAAAGCAGGGGAUCUUCGGACCUUGCGCGAUUGAAUGAGCCGAUGUCGGAUUAGCUAGUUGGCGGGGUAAAGGCCCACCAAGGCGACGAUCCGUAGCUGGUCUGAGAGGAGGAUCAGCAACACUGGAACUGGGACACGGUCCAGACUCCUACGGGAGGCAGCAGUGGGGAAUAUUGGACAAUGGGCGCAAGCCUGAUCUAGCCAUACCGCGUGGGUGAAGAAGGCCUUCGGGUUGUAAAGCCCUUUUGUUGGGAAAGAAAUCCAUCUGGUUAAUACCCGGGUGGGAUGACGGUACCCAAAGAAUAAGCACCGGCUAACUUCGUGCCAGCCGCCGCAGUAA
Molecule: ribosomal RNA, 506 nt
Filed under: uncultured bacterium
Lineage: Bacteria
Description: partial 16S ribosomal RNA
Rfam family: Bacterial small subunit ribosomal RNA
Source: RNAcentral